UAAUACGUAGGGUGCGAGCGUUAAUCGGAAUUACUGGGCGUAAAGCGUGCGCAGGCGGUCUCGCAAGUCCGAUGUGAAAUCCCCGGGCUCAACCUGGGAACUGCGUUGGAAACUACGAGGCUGGAGUACGGCAGAGGGGGGUGGAAUUCCACGUGUAGCAGUGAAAUGCGUAGAUAUGUGGAGGAACACCGAUGGCGAAGGCAGCCCCCUGGGCUAGUACUGACGCUCAUGCACGAAAGCGUGGGGAGCAAACAGGAUUAGAUACCCUGGUAGUCCACGCCCUAAACGAUGGCAACUAGUUGUUGGAGGAUGAACUCCUUUAGUAACGCAGCUAACGCGUGAAGUUGCCCGCCUGGGGAGUACGGUCGCAAGAUUA
RNAcentral lists this ribosomal RNA (376 nucleotides) under uncultured bacterium. Its description in RNAcentral is "bacterial SSU rRNA". It matches the Rfam family "Bacterial small subunit ribosomal RNA", at positions 521 to 896 of the family's 1533-position model. The record is from RNAcentral.